This 199-nucleotide long non-coding RNA is filed under the name Capsicum annuum. RNAcentral describes it as "long non-coding RNA (CANN_LNC004656)". The record is from RNAcentral. Lineage: Eukaryota; Viridiplantae; Streptophyta; Magnoliopsida; Solanales; Solanaceae.
UGAGAUUAUUGCUUUGUAGGGUUACACAGAGUUUGAUGACUUCAGAAAAGUCUUUUUCUAAUAUUAUUGAGGAUGUUUAAUCUAUAAAGUAGAUAGAUCGAGAGGCCCAAAGGAAAGCAAUAAGAGACCUCAUUACCAGGGCAGUUACAGAGAGGGACACCGCGAUUCAUAGUUCAUAGGCUGAGGGUUUCGUAGUAGG